RNAcentral lists this ribosomal RNA (253 nucleotides) under uncultured bacterium. RNAcentral's name for it is "partial 16S ribosomal RNA". It matches the Rfam family "Bacterial small subunit ribosomal RNA", at positions 524 to 776 of the family's 1533-position model. The record is from RNAcentral.
UACGGGGGGGGUAAGCGUUGUUCGGAAUUACUGGGCGUAAAGGGCUCGUAGGCGGCCAACUAAGUCGGACGUGAAAUCCCUCAGCUUAACUGGGGAACUGCGUCCGAUACUGGAUGGCUUGGAUUCGGGAGAGGGAUGCGGAAUUCCAGGUGUAGCGGUGAAAUGCGUAGAUAUCUGGAGGAACACCGGUGGCGAAGGCGGCAUCCUGGACCGAUAUUGACGCUGAGGAGCGAAAGCUAGGGGAGCAAACGGG